Molecule: transfer RNA, 29 nt
Filed under: Podarcis tiliguerta
Lineage: Eukaryota; Metazoa; Chordata; Lepidosauria; Squamata; Lacertidae
Description: partial tRNA-Thr
Source: RNAcentral
GUCCUAGUAGCUUAAAUUCUAAAGCACUG